This is a non-coding RNA of Coffea arabica (coffee), 2434 nucleotides long. The record is from RefSeq and is a predicted model, not a curated record. Lineage: Eukaryota; Viridiplantae; Streptophyta; Magnoliopsida; Gentianales; Rubiaceae.
AGAAUAAUGAUAAGCCAAAAAAGAUGGUUUAUAUAUAUACUUUUAAAGGUGACAAAUUGGAAAUUACUUCCGGCAACCUGAUGACAUCUUGCAAGUCUUUUGUUUCCUUUUCUAAAGUGCAUUCUGUAUGCUUAAAAGUUUUGAUUCUUCUAAUUCCUGCACUUUCUUAUGCCCGAGUUCUUUUGUACUUUUUUUUUUUGUUUUCUGAAGAAACCGUGUUGUGGGUUUUUCUGUUUUUUCCCAAUAGAGCAAGGGAUCAAUGAUAAAGGAGGCAUCUUUUUCAGGUUUGAGGUUAUGUUUAAUAGUUUUUAUCAAUGAUUUUUUAAAUCAAUAGCCUAUUGUUGUUUUUUUGCUUGAACUAUUUUUAUUUAUCGGUAGCCUUCUUGAUUUUCAAGUUUAGAAGAGAUUUUUGCAGUUUUUUGGGACAAAAACAGCUUGGAUGAGUUUUUAGGAAAAUUGCCUUGGUGAGUUUCUUGCUACGGAUUUAUGUGUUUUGGACUAUUGUUAUCUAAGCGCUUUUGUAACGUUGUCUUUUUUAUGAACUGACUUCAAGUUUUUUCCUCCUUUUUUUAUAACUGCUGUUGGUAUAUGCUUUUGCCGUUGUGGCGAGUUCAUUUUAAACUUCCUGCCUUUUUCUUUCUGUUUUCAGUUUUUCUUUCUAUUCUUGUGAUUGCCUGUUUUACAUCCGUAUGGUAUGCCUUUCUUUGUAGAAUUCGCUGGCCUUUUGAUUCUUGCAAGGGGCCUUCUUUGAAGCUAAUCCUUUGUCAUUUGUUGGGACAGGAAUUCUGUUGCAGUCAUUUAAGUCAGGUGGAUAGAAAUACUAUUCGUCAAAAAUGGUAUGUUGAAAUGUCACAGAGUGAGAAGGCUGCACUUUCAUGUCGGAGGCAUGAAGCCAGGCUUUUGGAAAAAAAGGGAGAAAUCCUCACGCUCUUAUGUUCAUAGGGUACUGUUUGGUUGCAUAGAAGCCGGUGUUUGUUUUCCUGGUUCUACUCUUGAGGGCGAUAGCAAGCUACUCUUGAAGGCUGUGGUUUUACUCCUCGAGGUAUAUGUGCCGUUGUAGUAUUUUACUCGUCUAUUCUGUAUCUGUUAGUUUAUUUAGCCUUGUGUCAGAUCAUUAUCUUUGAAUGGCUUCACGUUUCUGUGCCAUUUACGAUUGAAGCCAUCUAUUUUUGCACAUUACAGCAGCUCCAUUGAAUGACAUAGUUCAGGUUACAAAAGGUCAACCAGAAUCUAGUGCUGGAAAAAAAACUGUGUCUUCUCAUCUUUGGCCGAACGUUUGGCCUUCUAUUAAAGAUCAGCCUUCUUAGCACAGUCAUAAAGAAGUCUUACCUAAAGGAUUGCCUGACCUCUUAGAUAACAUUACAGUCUUCAAUGAGAACGAACAAACUUGUGAUUCUCAAAAUGUCAACCAAAUAACAUACUUCAAUCUUUAAAGGACUCAAACUCUGGAAUCCUUAACUCUUUGAACACUCCGUCUUUAAAUCGUUUGUCCAGAGACUGUGUUUCCUCUUCUAUUGCAUUGAAUCCCUGAUCUUUCAGCAUUCCGCGAGGUAGAGAUAUUACUGCAUCCAACAAAUCAUUCUUCUUGCUUUUCUUAUUCAGCCUUUAGUAUCGUUGUCUUUCAUAAACUAUUCUUAAUAAAAUAAGGCCGUCUAUUUAUGCACGUUGCAGCAACUCCAUUCAAUGACAGAGCUCAGCGUUAGAAAUGUCAGAUAGAAACUAAUGCUGGAAAAAGGAAGAAAAAGGAAAAAAAAAAGGACAUCUAUCUUUUGAUUCCUUACCUAAUGACCAGCCUUGUAAGGGGAGGCAUGGAAAUGCAUUGUCUAAGGCAUGGUCUCCUAUUUCAGAAGUUAACAUUGCGAUCUCUUAAGACAAUGAACAAACCUGUGGUGCUUGAUGUUAAAAUACAGCUAACAUCUUUGAACCUACGCGGAACUUGAAUUCUAAAAUUCUUGGUUCUUUGCACAGUCCAUUUUUGAAUUGCUCGUUAAAUGACUGUAUUUAUUCUUCUACUACAUUGAAUCUCCAGUCUUCUAGUACUUCUCAAGAUACAAAUAUUAUUAUGUGUACCAAUUAUUUUGCUUGCUUUUCUUGUUCAAUCUCCGGUACUUAAAAAAAAUUCUUCUCCACUUCUAAGAUAAUGUUGUGUCUUUUGGGCACCUUAUUAGGAUUUGCCAUUGCAGAUAUCCCAUCGAUUCAGAAAAAUAUGGUGGUUCAUUCUCAAAUAAUAAAUGAUGUGUCGACUAACAAAGAUGGGACCAGCAAAUCAUCUGAUAUUCCUGUUGGUUUUGCAACUCGAACGAAGGAUCAUACAAAUGCUAUGCCGACAAGAACGACGCAGUCAGGAGGGCUCCCACAAUAUAUGUUAACAUUUUCUCUUGGGAAGCUGCAACACAAUUUCCAAUAGCAACACAGACAGCAAGAGGAGGGGCAA